AGCUCCAAUAGCGUAUAUUAAAGUUGCUGCAGUUAAAAAGCUCGUAGUUGGAUCUCGGGUGCAGGCUUGCGGUCCGUCUCGCGGCGGUCACUGCUCGUCCUGGCCUCCUCGCCGGCGUACCGUCCCUUGGUGCUCUUGACUGAGUGUCUCGGGCGGCCGGAACGUUUACUUUGAAGAAAUUAGAGUGCUCAAAGCAGGCCUUGGCCGCCUGCAUAAUGGUGCAUGGAAUAAUGGAAUAGGACCUCGGUUCUAUUUUGUUGGUUUUCGGAGCUCGAGGUAAUGAUUAAUAGGGACUGACGGGGGCAUUCGUAUUGCGGCGCUAGAGGUGAAAUUCUUAGACCGUCGCAAGACGAACUACAGCGAAAGCAUUUGCCAAGCAUGUUU
Molecule: ribosomal RNA, 384 nt
Filed under: uncultured eukaryote
Lineage: Eukaryota
Description: SSU rRNA
Rfam family: Eukaryotic small subunit ribosomal RNA
Source: RNAcentral